Molecule: non-coding RNA, 121 nt
Organism: Picea glauca (white spruce)
Lineage: Eukaryota; Viridiplantae; Streptophyta; Pinopsida; Pinales; Pinaceae
Source: Rfam
ACAUGCCUACAACAUAGUGUCAAUGCAUUGGAUCCCAUUAGAACUCCGCAGUUAAGCACUCUUAUGCUAGAGUAGUAUUGGGAUGGGUGAUUUCCCGGGAAGUCCUAGUGUUUUACAUGCC